This 85-nucleotide transfer RNA is filed under the name hydrothermal vent metagenome. RNAcentral describes it as "tRNA-Ser-TGA". It matches the Rfam family "tRNA". From Rfam's summary of the family: Transfer RNA (tRNA) molecules are approximately 80 nucleotides in length. Their secondary structure includes four short double-helical elements and three loops (D, anti-codon, and T loops). The record is from RNAcentral.
GGAGGGGUGGCAGAGCGGUUGAAUGCGGCGGUCUUGAAAACCGUUGUGGGGAGACCUACCCAGGGUUCGAAUCCCUGCCCCUCCG